Molecule: ribosomal RNA, 531 nt
Filed under: uncultured delta proteobacterium n8d
Lineage: Bacteria; Deltaproteobacteria
Description: bacterial SSU rRNA
Rfam family: Bacterial small subunit ribosomal RNA
Source: RNAcentral
GUGCCAGCCGCCGCGGUAAUACGGGGGGGGCUAGCGUUGUUCGGAAUUACUGGGCGUAAAGGGCGCGUAGGCGGUAUGGGAAGUCAUGGGUGAAAGUCCUCGGCUCAACCGAGGGAUUGCCUGUGAAACCACCAUACUGGAGUGCUGGAGAGGGAAGUGGAAUUCCCAGUGUAGCGGUGAAAUGCGUAGAUAUUGGGAGGAACACCGGUGGCGAAGGCGGCUUCCUGGACAGACACUGACGCUGAGGCGCGAAAGCCAGGGGAGCGAACGGGAUUAGAUACCCCGGUAGUCCUGGCUGUAAACGAUGAACACUUGGUGUAGGGGGUGAUGAAGUCCCUCUUGUGCCGGAGAGAACUCGUUAAGUGUUCCGCCUGGGGAGUACGGCCGCAAGGCUGAAACUCAAAGGAAUUGACGGGGGCCCGCACAAGCGGUGGAGCAUGUGGUUUAAUUCGACGCAACGCGAAGAACCUUACCGGGGUUUGAACUGCACCUGAACGACCUAAGAUGGGGAGGUCCUUUCGGGACAGUGUA